This 124-nucleotide small RNA is filed under the name Marmota monax (woodchuck). The record is from RNAcentral. Lineage: Eukaryota; Metazoa; Chordata; Mammalia; Rodentia; Sciuridae.
GCCAGGCAUGGUGGGCAUGCCUGUAAUCCCAGUGGCUUGGGAGGCUGAGGCAGGAGGAUCACGAGUUCAAAGCCAGCCUCAGAAAAAGCAAGGUGCUAAGCAACUCAUUGAGAUCCUGUUUCUA